UGAAGCUGGAAUUGCUAGUAAUGGCAGGUCAGCAUACUGCCGUGAAUACGUUCCCGGGCCUUGUACACACCGCCCGUCACACCAUGAGAGUUGGAAAUACCCGAAGCCUGUGAGCUAACAGUAAUGAGGCAGCAGUCGAAGGUAGAGCCAAUGAUUGGGGUGAAGUCGUAACAAGGUACC
RNAcentral lists this ribosomal RNA (180 nucleotides) under uncultured bacterium. RNAcentral's name for it is "partial 16S ribosomal RNA". It matches the Rfam family "Bacterial small subunit ribosomal RNA", at positions 1321 to 1500 of the family's 1533-position model. The record is from RNAcentral.